Molecule: transfer RNA, 69 nt
Filed under: Salmo salar (Atlantic salmon)
Lineage: Eukaryota; Metazoa; Chordata; Actinopteri; Salmoniformes; Salmonidae
Rfam family: tRNA
About the family: Transfer RNA (tRNA) molecules are approximately 80 nucleotides in length.
Source: Rfam by way of RNAcentral
GUCUCUCUCACUUGGUAGAGCAUGGCACUUGCCAUGCCAGGGUUAUGGGUUCGAUUCCCAUGGGGGACC